GAUGAACGCUGGCGGCGUGCCUAAUACAUGCAAGUCGAGCGAACAGAUGAGGAGCUUGCUCCUCUGACGUUAGCGGCGGACGGGUGAGUAACACGUGGAUAACCUACCUAUAAGACUGGGAUAACUUCGGGAAACCGGAGCUAAUACCGGAUAAUAUAUUGAACCGCAUGGUUCAAUAGUGAAAGACGGUUUUGCUGUCACUUAUAGAUGGAUCCGCGCCGCAUUAGCUAGUUGGUAAGGUAACGGCUUACCAAGGCAACGAUGCGUAGCCGACCUGAGAGGGUGAUCGGCCACACUGGAACUGAGACACGGUCCAGACUCCUACGGAAGGCAGCAGUAGGGAAUCUUCCGCAAUGGGCGAAAGCCUGACGGAGCAACGCCGCGUGAGUGAUGAAGGUCCUCGGAUCGUAAAACUCUGUUAUUAGGGAAGAACAAAUGUGUAAGUAACUAUGCACGUCUUGACGGUACCUAAUCAGAAAGCCACGGCUAACUACGUG
RNAcentral lists this ribosomal RNA (497 nucleotides) under uncultured bacterium. Its description in RNAcentral is "partial 16S ribosomal RNA". It matches the Rfam family "Bacterial small subunit ribosomal RNA", at positions 28 to 507 of the family's 1533-position model. The record is from RNAcentral.